RNAcentral lists this ribosomal RNA (482 nucleotides) under uncultured bacterium. RNAcentral's name for it is "partial 16S ribosomal RNA". It matches the Rfam family "Bacterial small subunit ribosomal RNA", at positions 30 to 507 of the family's 1533-position model. The record is from RNAcentral.
AUUGAACGCUGGCGGCAUGCUUUACACAUGCAAGUCGAACGGUAACAGCACUUCUGUGGCUGACGAGUGGCGAACGGGUGAGUAAUACAUCUGAACGUGCCUAGUAUUGGGGGAUAACUACUCGAAAGAGUAGCUAAUACCGCAUGAGAUCUAAGGAUGAAAGCAGGUGACCUUCGGGCCUUGCGCUACUAGAGCGGCUGAUGGCAGAUUAGGUAGUUGGUGGGAUAAAAGCUUACCAAGCCGACGAUCUGUAGCUGGUCUGAGAGGACGACCAGCCACACUGGGACUGAGACACGGCCCAGACUCCUACGGGAGGCAGCAGUGGGGAAUUUUGGACAAUGGGCGCAAGCCUGAUCCAGCAAUGCCGCGUGCAGGAUGAAGGCCUUCGGGUUGUAAACUGCUUUUGUACGGAACGAAAAGCCCUCUUCUAAUACAGGAGGGUCAUGACGGUACCGUAAGAAUAAGCGCCGGCUAACUACGUG